GGCUUUGAUAAAAUAUUUUGGGCACACGUUUGUGCCAUAUAAGGAAGUUGGGGGACAAGUUUGUGCCAUAUAUGGAAGCAUGGUUUCCUCGCGCUUCGAACGAUUAAAUAAUUCGAUGAUCCUACCCUCUUAUUAUUGGUGAAAAUCACAGACGUUAAUACUUCGUGUGAACCGCGAAAGCUUGGGUUCUAAUGUAAAUAAAUAUGG
Paramuricea clavata is the source of this 207-nucleotide non-coding RNA. The record is from the annotation of a GenBank genome assembly. NCBI's taxonomy places the organism in Eukaryota, Metazoa, Cnidaria, Anthozoa, Malacalcyonacea, Plexauridae.